This 46-nucleotide non-coding RNA is filed under the name Schistosoma haematobium. Lineage: Eukaryota; Metazoa; Platyhelminthes; Trematoda; Strigeidida; Schistosomatidae. The record is from RNAcentral.
GCACUGAUGAAGAGUUCCAUGACAGGACGAAACGACCUUCCAGUGC